UACGUAGGGAGCAAGCGUUGUCCGGAAUCAUUGGGCGUAAAGCGCGCGUAGGUGGCUUCGUAAGUCCGUUGUGAAAGUCAAAGGCUCAACCUUUGAAAGCCGAUGGAUACUGCGGAGCUAGAGUACGGAAGAGGCGAGUGGAAUUCCUGGUGUAGCGGUGGAAUGCGCAGAUAUCAGGAGGAACACCAAUGGCGAAGGCAGAUCUCUGGGACGUAACUGACGCUGAGGAGCGAAAGCAUGGGGAGCGAACAGG
Molecule: ribosomal RNA, 253 nt
Filed under: uncultured bacterium
Lineage: Bacteria
Description: partial 16S ribosomal RNA
Rfam family: Bacterial small subunit ribosomal RNA
Source: RNAcentral